Molecule: long non-coding RNA, 1568 nt
Organism: Echinops telfairi (small Madagascar hedgehog)
Lineage: Eukaryota; Metazoa; Chordata; Mammalia; Afrosoricida; Tenrecidae
Exons: 4
Source: RefSeq, a predicted model, not a curated record
CGCGGGGAGCCGCGGUGGCAGAGGAUGGGGCCCCGUGUGGAGGGCGGACGCCCGGGGAGAGGAGCCAGAAGAUGCAGACUCGGAGGGAGAGGAAGAGGGGACGACGAGGAGGAAGAGGCGCUGCUGAGCAGAGAGCCCCCGCUGCCAGCCGGCGCCCAGUGCGAGUGCUUGAUUCACCCAGACAUUGAGUGGGGCCUCAGAAGCGGACGCUGACCCCAGCUGGCGCGUGAUCCUGGACCUGGCAAAGCGGCCGGCCUGCGGCUGGAUGAGCAUGAGGGACGAGCACAUCGCCGGACGGUCAUCCGCACCAGCACCCUCCGCGUGUCUCUGCUGACAGACAAAACAGAAGCCUAUGGCAGCGUCAGUAACGGUGUCAGCCGCCCCCACGGACCCGCCUCAGCCCCGCUCCCCGUCGGCUCUCUUCACACGCAUAUCUUUGGGGGACACAAAGCUGGGAAAGAGUCCCACAGAAGGCACCAGCUCUGCAGACACCUCCUGUGAGUCAUCCUGAAAUGCAGCCAUUCAGCAUGCAGCACUUACCACGGCAGAACCAUCUUGAACACUGGCAGCUCCACAGACCCUGCGCAAGAGUACAAGUGUGACAAAGAAGGACCCCCACCCCACCCCCACGGGCAGCACACAGCUCCACACAGACCCCUGGGCAAUGUGGCACCAGCUCCCGUGUCCCCUGGGGCCCACACAGACGAUCCGUGUUCCGUUCCCCUCCCUUCUCAGGCCCAAGGCCCUGGGUUCCCUAUGAAGUUGCCUGUCCUCAGUGGCCAUGGCCAUCUCCCGAGGGCCCUGUGGGCCAAAGUUCUUAGUGUGGAGGGCAGUCCUGCCUGUGGGGGACAGCUCCGACUGUGCUGUGUGGAAUGUUCUGAAAUGUGGCAGAUGGCGGCCAUUUAGAGACCAUGAAGUAGUGCCUUAGCUCCCUCUGACCCCAGCUGACCCUUCACCCCCCUCCGCACUCUGGUUCUUACCAGGAUGGUCAGUGGGCUGUGUCCCGGACACUCCCUUCUCAGGAAUGCUCUGGGGACACCAGGGUUCUGGGGCUCCCAGUGGCCUCGGGCUGUGGCUGGUGUGGGAGAGGCGUCUUUGAGCUUCACUAGGGGAGGAAGAAGGGGUGACAUCUUCAAGGAACAGCAGCUAGUACUUUGUGGGGAGCACAGUCACUCCAAGGACCUUCAGGGACAGAGGACAAGCUGCACAGAAGGGUUAGCCUGGGGCAUGGAAACACAGCGAGGGACCACCAGGGCUCUGGUGGCUCGAUGGGUCAUGCCCUGGGCUGCCCAUCAGCCGUUCCAAGGGUGAAAGAGGCCAUCUGCUCUGUGGAGACACCCACAGGGCAGGAUUGGUUCUGGGCUGAUACCUCACGGUGCAGUUCUGCUCCGAUGCACAUGGGGGCGCCCUGAACCCAAGCAGAUUCCAGGCCAACCGGCUAGUUUGGACUGAAGGUGUCUGGGUGAGGCCUGGUGGAGCAGUGGGUCAGAUGUUGGGCUGAUCACCGGGGUCGGUGGUUCAAACCCACUAAGAGGCUGUCUGCUUCCGUAAAGACUGACCUCCUCAAA